Molecule: ribosomal RNA, 581 nt
Filed under: uncultured bacterium
Lineage: Bacteria
Description: partial 16S ribosomal RNA
Rfam family: Bacterial small subunit ribosomal RNA
Source: RNAcentral
UGGGGAAUUUUGGACAAUGGGGGAAACCCUGAUCCAGCCAUCCCGCGUGUGCGAUGAAGGCCUUCGGGUUGUAAAGCACUUUUGGCAGGAAAGAAACGUCGCGGGUUAAUACCCCGCGGAACUGACGGUACCUGCAGAAUAAGCACCGGCUAACUACGUGCCAGCAGCCGCGGUAAUACGUAGGGUGCAAGCGUUAAUCGGAAUUACUGGGCGUAAAGCGUGCGCAGGCGGUUCGGAAAGAAAGAUGUGAAAUCCCAGAGCUUAACUUUGGAACUGCAUUUUUAACUACCGGGCUAGAGUGUGUCAGAGGGAGGUGGAAUUCCGCGUGUAGCAGUGAAAUGCGUAGAUAUGCGGAGGAACACCGAUGGCGAAGGCAGCCUCCUGGGAUAACACUGACGCUCAUGCACGAAAGCGUGGGGAGCAAACAGGAUUAGAUACCCUGGUAGUCCACGCCCUAAACGAUGUCAACUAGCUGUUGGGGUCUUCGGACCUUGGUAGCGCAGCUAACGCGUGAAGUUGACCGCCUGGGGAGUACGGUCGCAAGAUUAAAAACUCAAAUGAAUUGACGGGGGUCAUAGCUG